GCGGGAAUUCGAUUUUCCGGUUGAUCCUGCCGGACCUGACUGCUAUCGGAUUGGUACUAAGCCAUGUGAGUCGUUGUAGCAAUACAAGGCAUACGGCUCAGUAACACGUAGUCAAUCUAACCUAUGGACGGGGAUAACCUCGGGAAACUGAGGAUAAUACCCGAUAGAUCAUAAUGCCUGGAACGGUUUAUGGUUCAAAUGAUUCGUCGCCGUAGGGUGGGACUGCGGCCUAUCAGCUUGUUGGUGAGGUAAUGGCCCACCAAGGCUAUUACAGGUACGGGCUCUGAGAGGAGUAGCCCGGAGAUGGGUACUGAGACACGGACCCAGGCCCUAUGGGGCGCAGCAGGCGAGAAACCUUUGCAAUGUGCGCAAGCACGACAAGGUUAAUCCGAGUGUUUCCUGCUAAAGGAAUCUUUUGUUAGUCGUAAAAUCACUAUUGAAUAAGGGGUGGGCAAGUUCUGGUGUCAGCCGCCGCGGUAAAACCAGCACCUCAAGUGGUCAGGAUGAUUAUUGGGCCUAAAGCAUCCGUAGCCUGUUCUGAAAGUUUCCGGUUAAAUCCAUUAACUCAACUAAUGGGCUGCCGAAAAUACUGCAGAACUAGGGAGUGGGAGAGGUAGACGGUACUCGGUAGGAAGGGGUAAAAUCCUUUGAUCUAUUGAUGACCACCUGUGGCGAAGGUGGUCUACCAAAACACGUUCGACAGUGAGGGAUGAAAGCUGAUGGAGCAACCGGAUUAUAUACCCGGUAGUCCCAACUGUAAACGAUGCACACUCGUGAUGCCCUGGCUUGUGGCCAGAGCAG
RNAcentral lists this ribosomal RNA (801 nucleotides) under uncultured archaeon. RNAcentral describes it as "bacterial SSU rRNA". It matches the Rfam family "Archaeal small subunit ribosomal RNA", at positions 1 to 798 of the family's 1478-position model. The record is from RNAcentral.